GAUGAACGCUAGCGGCAGGCCUAACACAUGCCAGUCGAGGGGUAGAACACUUCGGUGUUUGAGACCGGCGCACGGGUGCGUAACGCGUAUGCAAUCUGCCUUACACUAAGGGAUAGCCCAGAGAAAUUUGGAUUAAUACCUUAUAGUAUAUUGAUGUAGCAUCACAUUAUUCUUAAAGAUUUAUUGGUGUAAGAUGAGCAUGCGUCCCGUUAGCUAGUUGGUAUGGUAACGGCGUACCAAGGCAAUUAUGGGUAGGGGUGCUGAGAGGGAGAUACGCCACACUGGUCCUGGGAUAGUGACCAUAGGCCUACGGGAGGCAGCAGUGAUGAAUAUUGGUCUAUGGUCGCAAGACUGAACCAGCCAUGCCGCGUGCAGGAUGAAGCAUCUAUGUUGUGUAAGCUGCUUUUGUACGGGAAGACACACGUCUUCGUGAAGAGGCUUGCCGGUACCGUAAGAAUAAGGAUCGGCUAACUCCGUGCCAGCCGCCGCCGUAA
Molecule: ribosomal RNA, 494 nt
Filed under: uncultured bacterium
Lineage: Bacteria
Description: partial 16S ribosomal RNA
Rfam family: Bacterial small subunit ribosomal RNA
Source: RNAcentral